Molecule: ribosomal RNA, 2456 nt
Filed under: human gut metagenome
Description: bacterial LSU rRNA
Rfam family: Bacterial large subunit ribosomal RNA
Source: RNAcentral
UGAAGUAAGUAAGGGCGUACGGUGAAUGCCUUGGUGCCAACAGGCGAAGAAGGACGCGGCAAGCUGCGAAAAGCCUCGGGAAGCUGCAAGCAAGCGAUGAUCCGGGGAUAUCCGAAUGGGGUAACCUGAUCGAGGCAAUACUCGAUCGUUCAUACCUGAAUACAUAGGGUAUGAAACGCGAAACCCGCUGAAGUGAAACAUCUCAGUAAGCGGAGGAAAAGAAAGAGAAAUCGAUUCCGUAAGUAGUGGCGAGCGAAAGCGGAUGGAGCCCAAACCGAAGGUAUUCCUUCGGGGUUGUAGGACCACGUCAUAUUCGACCAUACUGGAUAGUAGAACAGCCUGGAAAGGCUGGCCGGAGAAGGUGAAAGCCCUGUAGACGAAAUCCAGAGUGGGAAUUAGUGGUAUCCUGAGUAAUACAUCACACGUGGAACGAUGUAUGAACCCGCGCGGACCACCGCGCAAGGCUAAAUACUAGUUGGCGACCGAUAGUGAACAAGUACCGCGAGGGAAAGGUGAAAAGAACCGCUGUGAGCGGAGUGAAAUAGAACCUGAAACCGUAUGUCUACAAAGUGUCAGAGCAGAGCAAUCUGCGAUGGCGUGCCUUUUGUUUAAUGAGUCUGCGAGUCAGUGUUUGUGGCAAGACUAAGGGCUUCCGGCCCGGAGUCGCAGCGAAAGCAAGUCCGAACAGGGCGCAAUAAGUCGCAGGUACUGGACCCGAAGCGGAGGUGACCUACCCUUGGCCAGGUUGAAGCAUGGGUAAAACCAUGUGGAGGACCGAACAGGUGAACGUUGAAAAGUUCUCUGAUGAGCUGAGGGUAGGAGUGAAAGGCUAAUCAAACCCCGUGAUAGCUGGUUCUCUUCGAAAUGCAUUUAGGUGCAGCGUCACGUGCUGAUGCGCGGGGGUAGAGCACUGACAAGGCUAGGGGGCACACCCGCUUACCAAACCUUAUCAAACUCCGAAUACCGUGCAAUGGAACGUGGCAGUGAGACAGUGGGGGAUAAGCUUCAUUGUCGAGAGGGAAACAACCCAGACCAGCAGCUAAGGUGCCUAAAUAACGCUCAGUGGAAAGGAUGUGGGAUUACACAGACAGUGAGGAUGUUGGCUUAGAAGCAGCCACCAUUUAAAAAAUGCGUAAUAGCUUACUCAUCGAGUGAUCCUGCGCCGAAAAUGAUUGGCGAUCAAGCGUUAUACCGAAGCUCUGGACUUUGCCGCAAGGCAGAGUGGUAGAAGAGCGUUGCAUGCGCGUCGAAGGGCGAUGGCGACUGACCCUGGAGCACAUGCAAGUGAGUAUGCAGACAUGAGUAACGUUAAGCCGGGUGAAAUCCCCGGCCGCCGUAAACCCGAGGUUUCCAGGGCAACGUGUUUCGUCCCUGGGUUAGCCGGGACCUAAGCCGAGGCCGAGAGGCGUAGGCGAUGGACAUCAGGUUAAUAAUCCUGAGCUCGCAACCCUUAAACUGGGGGGACGCAUGAGAAAAGAUGACUAGGUUAUUGAAUUCCGAGUUGAGUCUACGGACUCAGCGCAUCAUUGGAUCGAGUGCCAAGAAAAGCCCCAGCGUAUGCUAAGCGACCCGUACCGCAAACCGACACAGGUGGGUGGGUAGAAUAUACCAAGGCGUAAGAGUGAAACCUGGUUAAGGAACUCGGCAAAUUAGCCCCGUAACUUCGGAAGAAGGGGUGCCUGCAGCGAUGCAGGCCGCAGAGAAAUGGCCCAACCGACUGUUUAUCAAAAACACAGCACUCUGCAAAGACGCAAGUCGAAGUAUAGGGUGUGACACGUGACCAAUGCCGAAAGAUUAAGGCAAGGGGUUAGCCGCAAGGCGAAGCUCUAAACCCAAGUCCCGGUGAAUGUCGGCCGUAACUAUAACGGUCCUAAGGUAGCGAAAUUCCUUGUCGGGUAAGUUCCGACCUGCACGAAUCGUGAAACGAGUUGGGCACUGUCUCAACCAGGCGCUCAGUGAAAUUGUAGUGGCGGUGAAGAUGCCGCCUACCCGCAGAAGGACGGAAAGACCCUAUAGACCUUAACUGUAAGCUGUCAUUGUUUCUUCGGUUUUAAUGCUCAGAGUAAGUGGGAGACGCUGAAGACGCCCUUUAGGGGGCGUCCGAGUCAUCAAUGAGACACCACCCUUUGAAACUGGAGGAUCUAACCCUGAGCCGUGAAUCCGGCCAGAGGACCGUGUCAGCCGGUCAGUUUUACUGGGGCGGUAUCCUCCCAAAGAGUAACGGAGGAGCGCGAAGGUGGGCUCAGCCCGGUUGGCAACCGGGUGUCGAGUGCAUGGGCAUAAGCCCGCCUAACUGUGAGACCAACAAGUCGAGCAGAUGCGAAAGCAGGCCCAAGUGAUCCGGCGGUAGAAAGUGGAAUUGCCGUCGCUCAACGGAUAAAAGGUACCUUAGGGAUAACAGGCUGAUCACGCCCAAGAGUUCAUAUCGACGGCGUGGUUUGGCACCUCGAUGUCGG